This is a long non-coding RNA of Populus trichocarpa (black cottonwood), 1447 nucleotides long. RefSeq lists it as uncharacterized. The transcript has 2 exons. NCBI's taxonomy places the organism in Eukaryota, Viridiplantae, Streptophyta, Magnoliopsida, Malpighiales, Salicaceae. The record is from RefSeq and is a predicted model, not a curated record.
UUUUUAGAAAGAAUAAAGUUGUGAAUUUUGUUUUCAUAUCGACAAUUAUUUUUGCUCAUUAAAUAUUUAUGUUAUAUAUUUAUUGUUAUGUUUAACUUCCGCCAGCUGUUGUUCUCUUGAGAACUUAUUGAGGUUCUUAUUUCUUAAUUGACUAAUCAAUUAAUUAGUGCAUCAUGGAGCACAAUAAUCAGGUUUUAUCUGUCGAGGUUGAUAGGAAGAAUUUUUCUCCUAAGAGUCCCAUCUCCGUGUUCUUGUAAAGGGAAAAAGAUAAGCUCGGCGUUCUUGAUGGCUCUAGUCCCGAACCUGUAGAUGACAAGCAGAAGGCACAGUGGAAGAUAACUAAUCUCCUCGAUAACCAACCCUGUCAACGACAUCGCUUUGAGUCUUAGGCCUUAUCAAACUGCUACUGCUAUGUGGAAACACCGAGAGAGAGUUUACUCUCAGACUAGUCAAGCAAGGCAAUUCGAGUUGGAGUUUGAACUCAAACUAUCAACAGGAUGACAAAGACGUUCAGACUUGUUAUUCAGUUUAGCAGUUGAAUCAGCUGCAUCCUGGUUAUCUAGUCUAUGACAAGCCACCUCUUUCUGUAGAACUUUCAGAGCUCGAUUUGCUUCCUCCCAAAGUUGAUCCUGAAGGUGUUCAAGUUUGUCAAUUUCAUGCAUUAACGUGAAAGGUGCAGUUGAUGAUUGCCUCGUAGACUGUCUUGGCAUCGUUUUCAUGAUUCUAUAAUAGUGGAUUGGCUCCUUGCUGUCAAGAUCUAGCAAGGAUGCGUCAGAGUAAGAGAGAUAAUUAUUCACUGAUGGACAGGGUGAUUCCAAUAUGCUUUGAAGCAUGUCAAUCCUCUUGAAGUUUUUUGAGCAAUUCAUCGACCUUAGAUCCUAAGUUUCUAGUUCCACCUCUGAUUAGGACGACCAACAUUCAGGGUCGCCAUUGCAAUGAGAUGGUUUACAUCACAUUGUAGAAAGAGGAACUUUAACAACUACUAAAAAUGUCUGGCCAAAUUGUUUUUGGUUUUCAACUUUGGAAAGAAAUUACAACCGAAAAGGACAUCGAGCUUUUCAUGCCUCAAACACAUUGGGCUCAUAGAAUCAAAGGCAACCAAUAAAUGACUCUUCCCUUUCUCACAAUGAUGAGCAACAAAAGAUUCAGAGCACUUUACUUUUAACCUUACUAGCUUACAUAUCUACCGCUGGCAUCUGACGAAUGAAAAUCAGUUUUUGAAUCUUGGUUCAUUGAUUCCGCCGCUUCUAACUUGACGUAGGAGUUUUUUUUUUAAGAAAAUAAAUAUUUUGUUCUUUAUAUUUAUUUUUCUAUUAUGUAUUGUUAUGUUUUUUGUUUUUUUUUUUUGGUUUGAAGAGAAUGGUUUUUCUAUUCAGUUAUAUGAAAAGUUGUAAUAGAAUUUUGACAAAUACAUAUUAAUAAAUAUGUUAGGAAUUUAUUUAUAAUU